GAUGAACGCUGGCGGCGUGCCUAAUACAUGCAAGUCGAGCGAACGGACGAGAAGCUUGCUUCUCUGAUGUUAGCGGCGGACGGGUGAGUAACACGUGGAUAACCUACCUAUAAGACUGGGAUAACUUCGGGAAACCGGAGCUAAUACCGGAUAAUACUUUGAACCGCAUGGUUCAAAAGUGAAAGACGGUCUUGCUGUCACUUAUAGAUGGAUCCGCGCUGCAUUAGCUAGUUGGUAAGGUAACGGCUUACCAAGGCAACGAUGCAUAGCCGACCUGAGAGGGUGAUCGGCCACACUGGAACUGAGACACGGUCCAGACUCCUACGGGAGGCAGCAGUAGGGAAUCUUCCGCAAUGGGCGAAAGCCUGACGGAGCAACGCCGCGUGAGUGAUGAAGGUCUUCGGACCGUAAAACUCUGUUAUUAGGGAAGAACAUAUGUGUAAGUAACUGUGCACAUCUUGACGGUACCUAAUCAGAAAGCCACGGCUAACUACGUG
This 497-nucleotide ribosomal RNA is filed under the name uncultured bacterium. Its description in RNAcentral is "partial 16S ribosomal RNA". It matches the Rfam family "Bacterial small subunit ribosomal RNA", at positions 28 to 507 of the family's 1533-position model. The record is from RNAcentral.